CGACAGCCCCACGUUCUGCAGGGAGGGAGAACGUUGGCAUGGAACCCACCAGAGAUGGAGACCACCAGGAUGGGAUGGAUCCCACCAGGGAUUGAUCCCACCAGGAUGGGAUGGAUGGAUGGAGCCCACCAGGGAUGGGAUGGGAUGGAGCCCACCAGGAUGGGAUGGAUGGAGCCCACCAAGGUGGGAUGGGAUGGGAUGGGAUGGAUCCCACCAGGAUGGAUAGGUCCUGCCAGGGAUGGGUCCCACCAGGAUGGGAUGGAUGGAUCCCACCAGGAUGGGAUGGGAUGGGAUGGGAUGGGAUGGGAUGGGAUGGGAUGGGAUGGAUCCCACCAGGGAUGGUCCUACCAGGGAUGGGUCCCACCAGGGAUGGGUCCCACCAGGAUGGGAUGGGUUCUACCAGGAUGGAUUCCACCAGGGUGGGAUGGAUGGAUCCCAGGGAUGGGAUGGAUCCCACCAGGGUGGGAUGGGAUGGGUUGGGUCCCACCAGGGUGGGAUGGAUCCCACCAGGGAUGGGUCCAACUAGGAUGGGAUGGAUGGAUCCCACCAGGGAUGGAUCCCACGAGGGAUGGGAUGGGAUGGAUCCCACCAGGAUGGAUGGAUCCAACCAGGAUGGAGCCCACCAGGGAUGGAUCCUACCAAGAUGGGAUGGAUCCCACCAGGGAUGGGAUGGAUGGAUCCCACCAGGAUGGGAGGGUCCCGCCAGGGAUGGAUCCCACCAAGAUGGGAUGGAUGAGUCCCACCAGGGAUGGAUGGGUCCCACCAAGGUGGGAUGGAUCGCAGGGAUAGAUGGAUCCCACCAGAGCGGGAUGGGUUCCACCAGGAUCGGAUGGGAUGGGAUGGGUCCUACCAGGAUGGGAUGGAUGGAUCCCAGGGAUGGAUCGGUCCUACCAGGGAUGGGUCCCACCAGGAUGGGAUGGAUGGGUCCCACCAGGGAUGGAUGGAUCCCACCAGGGAUGGAUCCCACCUGGAUGGGAUGGGUCCCACCAGGAUUCCCAGAGAAUCCCUGGGAGCAUCCAAGGGUGGGUUUGGAUCACCCUGGGAUGGUGGGAAUUGGGAUUGAAGCUCCACGGAUCCCACCCCAAACCAUUCCCGGGGAUUUCCCGGUGGGAUCCCGAUCCCUGAUCCCGAUCCCGAUCCCGGAUCCAGGCCGGGUCUUACCUGAGCCCCGAGUCUUGGCGGCUUCUGGGGCGGCCCCGUGAAUUGUGCUGGGAAAAAAGAGGGAAAAUCAUUCCGGAAAAUUCCGGAAAAUUCCUGGAAUGCCAUGAAACCCCCGGGAUCCCGAUCCCAACGUUUUGGGAAUUUCGCUCGUGGGUGGGGGGGGAAAAACAUUCCCGAGGAAAAUUCCGGGUGGGAAUGGGGAGGAACUCACUGUAAUCCGUCUCCUUCUCCGGGAGGAGCUGAAAGGGGGGAAAAAAUCGGGAAUUAGAGACACCAAAAUUUGGGGAAAAGGGAGGAAAUGCCCCAAAAUUUGGGAUGGAGGGAGGAGAAACCCCAAAAUUUGGGAUGGAGGGAGGAGGAGCCCCAAAAAUUGGGAAAAAGGGGAGGAAAUGUCCCAAAAUUUGGGAGGGAGGGAGGAAAUGCCCCAAAAUUUGGGAUAAAUGGAGGAAAUGCCCCAAAAUUUGGGAUGGAGCCCCAAAAUUUGGGAUGGAGGGAGGAAAUGUCCCAAUAUUUGGGAUGGAGGGAGGAAAUGCCCCAAAAUUUUGGAUGGAACCCUAAAAUUUGGGAUGGAGGGAGGAGGAGUCUCAAAAUUUGGGAUGGAGGGAGGAAAUGCCCCAAAAUUUGGGAUGGAGGGAGGAAAUGCCCCAAAAUUUGGGAUGGAGGGAGGAAACACCCCAAAAUUUGGGAAAAGGGGAUGAAAUGUCCCAAAAUUUGGGAUAAAGAGGGGAAACGCCCCAAAAUUUGGGAUGGAGGGAGGAAACACCCCAAAAUUUGGGAUGGAGCCCUAAAAUUUGGGAUGGAGGAAGGAAACGCCCCAAAAUUUGGGAUGAAGGGAGGAAACACCCAAAAAUUGGGAAAAAGAGAGGAAAUGUCCCAAAAUUUGGGAUGGAGGGAGGAAAAACCCCAAAAUUUGGGAUGAAGAGAGGAAACGCCCCAAAAUUUUGGAUGGAAGCCUAAAAUUUGGGAUGGAGGGAGGAGGAGCCCCAAAAUUUGUGAUGGAGGGAGGAAAUGCCCCAAAAUUUGGGAUGGAGGGAGGAAAAA
Molecule: long non-coding RNA, 2202 nt
Organism: Zonotrichia albicollis (white-throated sparrow)
Lineage: Eukaryota; Metazoa; Chordata; Aves; Passeriformes; Passerellidae
Source: Ensembl